RNAcentral lists this ribosomal RNA (94 nucleotides) under Bacillus amyloliquefaciens. Lineage: Bacteria; Bacillati; Bacillota; Bacilli; Caryophanales; Bacillaceae. The record is from RNAcentral. RNAcentral also lists the same sequence under 6 other names.
UCACACCCGUUCCCAUGCCGAACACGGAAGUUAAGCUCUUCAGCGCCGAUGGUAGUCGGGGGUUUCCCCCUGUGAGAGUAGGACGCCGCCAAGC